UACGUAGGUGGCGAGCGUUAUCCGGAUUUACUGGGUGUAAAGGGCGUGUAGGCGGGCGUGCAAGUCAGAUGUGAAAUGUCGAGGCUUAACCUCGGAGUUGCAUUUGAAACUGUGCGUCUUGAGUGAUGGAGAGGCAGGCGGAAUUCCUAGUGUAGCGGUGAAAUGCGUAGAUAUUAGGAGGAACACCAGUGGCGAAGGCGGCCUGCUGGACAUUAACUGACGCUGAGGCGCGAAAGCGUGGGGAGCAAACAGG
RNAcentral lists this ribosomal RNA (253 nucleotides) under uncultured bacterium. Its description in RNAcentral is "partial 16S ribosomal RNA". It matches the Rfam family "Bacterial small subunit ribosomal RNA", at positions 524 to 776 of the family's 1533-position model. The record is from RNAcentral.